Molecule: ribosomal RNA, 253 nt
Filed under: uncultured bacterium
Lineage: Bacteria
Description: partial 16S ribosomal RNA
Rfam family: Bacterial small subunit ribosomal RNA
Source: RNAcentral
UACGAAGGGGGCUAGCGUUGUUCGGAAUCACUGGGCGUAAAGCGCACGUAGGCGGAUUUGUCAGUCAGGGGUGAAAUCCCGGGGCUCAACCUCGGAACUGCCUUUGAUACAGCAAGUCUUGAGUUCGAGAGAGGUGGGUGGAAUUCCUAGUGUAGAGGUGAAAUUCGUAGAUAUUAGGAAGAACACCGGUGGCGAAGGCGGCCCACUGGCUCGAUACUGACGCUGAGGUGCGAAAGCGUGGGGAGCAAACAGG